This 430-nucleotide ribosomal RNA is filed under the name uncultured bacterium. RNAcentral describes it as "partial 16S ribosomal RNA". It matches the Rfam family "Bacterial small subunit ribosomal RNA", at positions 29 to 507 of the family's 1533-position model. The record is from RNAcentral.
ACGAACGCUGGCGGCAGGCCUAACACAUGCAAGUCGAGCGCCCUUUCGGGGGAGCGGCGGACGGGUGAGUAACGCGUGGGAAUAUGCCCUUCUCUACGGAAUAGCCUCGGGAAACUGAGAGUAAUACCGUAUACGCCCUAUGGGGGAAAGAUUUAUCGGGGAAGGAUUAGCCCGCGUUGGAUUAGGUAGUUGGUGGGGUAAUGGCCUACCAAGCCGACGAUCCAUAGCUGGUUUGAGAGGAUGAUCAGCCACACUGGGACUGAGACACGGCCCAGACUCCUACGGGAGGCAGCAGUGGGGAAUCUUAGACAAUGGGGGCAACCCUGAUCUAGCCAUGCCGCGUGAGUGAUGAAGGCCUUAGGGUUGUAAAGCUCUUUCAGCUGGGAAGAUAAUGACGGUACCAGCAGAAGAAGCCCCGGCUAACUCCGUG